This 292-nucleotide ribosomal RNA is filed under the name uncultured bacterium. RNAcentral's name for it is "partial 16S ribosomal RNA". It matches the Rfam family "Bacterial small subunit ribosomal RNA", at positions 505 to 796 of the family's 1533-position model. The record is from RNAcentral.
GUGUCAGCAGCCGCGGUAAUACAGAGAUGGCAAGCGUUGUUCGGAAUCACUGGGCUUAAAGCGCGUGUAGGCGGAGCGAUAGGCGCCUUGUGAAAUCCCUCGGCUCAACCGAGGAACUGCUUGGCGAACCGGCGCUCUUGAGGCAGGUAGAGGUAACUGGAACCAUAGGUGGAGCGGUGAAAUGCGUAGAGAUCUAUGGGAACGCCGGUGGCGAAAGCGAGUUACUGGGCCUGUUCUGACGCUGAGACGCGAAAGCGUGGGUAGCAAACAGGAUUAGAUACCCGUGUAGUCC